UCGGGAAUUUUGGGCAAUGGGCGAAAGCCUGACCCGGCAACGCCGCGUGAAGGAUGAAGUAUUUCGGUAUGUAAACUUCGAAAGAAUAGGAAGAAUAAAUGACGGUACUAUUUGUAAGGUCCGGCUAACUACGUGCCAGCAGCCGCGGUAAUACGUAGGGACCAAGCGUUGUUCGGAUUUACUGGGCGUAAAGGGCGCGUAGGCGGUGUGUCAAGUCAGUUGUGAAAUCUCCGAGCUUAACUCGGAACGGUCAACUGAUACUGUCACACUAGAGUACAGAAGGGGCAAUCGGAAUUCUUGGUGUAGCGGUGAAAUGCGUAGAUAUCAAGAGGAACACCUGAGGCGAAGGCGGGUUGCUGGGCUGAUACUGACGCUGAGGCGCGAAAGCUAGGGUAGCAAACGGGAUUAGAUACCCACGUAGUCCCUGAGCGGGCUGGCAAGGCGCAU
Molecule: ribosomal RNA, 447 nt
Filed under: uncultured bacterium
Lineage: Bacteria
Description: bacterial SSU rRNA
Rfam family: Bacterial small subunit ribosomal RNA
Source: RNAcentral